GACGAACGCUGGCGGCGUGCUUAACACAUGCAAGUCGAACGGAAAGGCCCUGCUUUUGUGGGGUGCUCGAGUGGCGAACGGGUGAGUAACACGUGAGUAACCUGCCCUUGACUUUGGGAUAACUUCAGGAAACUGGGGCUAAUACCGGAUAGGAGCUCCUGCGGCAUGGUGGUGGUUGGAAAGUUUCGGCGGUUGGGGAUGGACUCGCGGCUUAUCAGCUUGUUGGUGGGGUAGUGGCUUACCAAGGCUUUGACGGGUAGCCGGCCUGAGAGGGUGACCGGCCACAUUGGGACUGAGAUACGGCCCAGACUCCUACGGGAGGCAGCAGUGGGGAAUAUUGCACAAUGGGCGGAAGCCUGAUGCAGCAACGCCGCGUGCGGGAUGACGGCCUUCGGGUUGUAAACCGCUUUCGCCUGUGACGAAGCGUGAGUGACGGUAAUGGGUAAAGAAGCACCGGCUAACUACGUG
RNAcentral lists this ribosomal RNA (468 nucleotides) under uncultured bacterium. Its description in RNAcentral is "partial 16S ribosomal RNA". It matches the Rfam family "Bacterial small subunit ribosomal RNA", at positions 28 to 507 of the family's 1533-position model. The record is from RNAcentral.